Molecule: long non-coding RNA, 1543 nt
Organism: Daphnia magna
Lineage: Eukaryota; Metazoa; Arthropoda; Branchiopoda; Diplostraca; Daphniidae
Exons: 5
Source: RefSeq, a predicted model, not a curated record
GCACGUUAGGACGCCGUCUGAGACCUUCAUGACCAGGUCAAUUGCAUGCAUCCUUUUUUUUCUUACUUAUGUAGCACCAUUGAAUUCGUCAUCGUUGAAGAUGGCACCGGGGUAUUUGGGGUUAUCAGAAUUGUAGCUUGGAGCAAAGUUUGUUUUGUGAGGGAAGCACAAGACCAAAAAGUUCUAUCCAUCAUUUUAACUACUGAGGACAAUCAGAUUUUGAAUCAAAAAUUGUGUUCAAACUGGUGAUAUACGUGAUGUGGCCAACAGAUUUUUAAGGAAAAGUCUAUUGCGACCAAUUUUUAAUUGUACUUGUAAGGUUGAGGUACCCAACUGAUGCUGUUUUGUCCUAUUCUGGUGCCAGUUGUUAUUUCUGUGUCCAAGCCAUUUUGAAGCCUUAGCAAUGUUGAUGAAAACAUAAAGUCGUUGUCAGUUUGCAUCAGUAAUACGAGUACCUGGUACUCAACUCCAACAUCAACCCUUGUCUACUAUAUUGCCUCAAACCGAUGUAGGGAAUUCACAUUGAGUUUUUGUUAGCAUGUCUUAUCAAGUCGACAACAUUCACUCUUCUUUUAUCACUGAUGCAUGCUUGUUGGGGGAAAAAGUCAAUCUAUUUUCAUCUCUCAAGAUUCUCAGAUGUUGGAUUUCAAGAUCCUUUAUUAUGAUGUCAUGUCAUCAUUCUAAAGAUGGCUGCAACCGUUGAUAAUCUGCUUCUGGAUUUUUAAAUCAAGGUUAAGAGACAUGUCAUGUCUGAAGAAUGAAAAUGUGAGGAUAACAGGAAGAACCAGUAGUGAGGCAAGAUAGAAACAUUUUGUCAACAAGCCUUAGUGGGAAAUCCAUUUUGAAAAGUUUAAGAAAACCCUGAGAAUUAAACUUGACAAAAGCCAUUUUUGUUGGCACUAACUAAUAGAAGAAAUCUAGUGUGGAGUCUAUUGGAGAUGGUUUUCUCCAACACUCAUCAAUUAACAGUAGAUUUUUUAACACUCAAACUUUGGUUGGCAAGUGGUCUAUUUUUAGCUAUUCAUACCCUAUACCCAAACUGCUAUUUAAACCACUGGCUUUGGUUUUACAGAAACUGUUUGAACAGACUUUUCAACUAAUUGCAUGAAAUUGAGUUGAUAUUUCCAAUUUAGCACAACAUCAAUUGUUUAGGGUUCAUUUUGAGUAUUUAGACUAGAGCCACAAGUCUGCUAGAGCUCUGGUGAGUGGUCUAUAAUGUAUUAAUGUUACCAUUCUAUUGUCGACUUUUCCAUGUGGGUUAAUGUCUUAAAACAUAAAACAAGAUGUUUAAGAACUGCUAUACCUUGCAAAACAGGUGUGCUUAUUUAUUACAGUAUUCCAAAAGUAAGCAUCUAAUUUAUUGCUGCUAUGAAGGUGACUGCAGGUUUCUAAAGUAAAGCUUUUGUGUAAUAGCUGAAUUUUGUGAAAAACUUUAUGUUUUAUGUUGGAAAUUGUUUUAGAGUAACGAAAUGCUUGCAAGUUCGUUUUUUGGUUGCUCAUGUUUUUACCAUUUUAACGGUUUUUCCAUCAUUCCUCUCUAAUA